Non-coding RNA from Monodelphis domestica (gray short-tailed opossum), 19807 nucleotides. Lineage: Eukaryota; Metazoa; Chordata; Mammalia; Didelphimorphia; Didelphidae. The record is from RefSeq and is a predicted model, not a curated record.
UAUAUAAUAACCAUAUAAAUAAAUGCAAUGCAAACAUAAUAUACAAUAAUAAACAUAUUAUUAUACAUGAUAUAAGAUUGAGGUAGGUAUAUUCAUGUUAUAUAUUUGUUAGAAACUAGUGCAUUUCAUCUGGUGUUUUUUGUGUUUUUACUUCUUGUUUUGUUUGCUUUUUAACUUUCCUUGUAAAUAUUUUGUAACAUUUUACUUGUAAUGAAAUGGAUCAUGGCUUCAUUUCCCUACUGUGAAGCAGGAUCCCUGGAGAAGGAAAAUAUAAUAUGUAUUGAGAUGAUUUCUCAGUGACAAAAAAAAAUAUUUUUGAGUGUCUCUCAUGAAAGAAAUGUUCUACAAAAACAAAAAACAUAAUAUGAUAUAAUCAUAUAAUAUAUAACAUAGUAACAUAACAUGUAUAUCCUAUAUGUAACAUAUUUCUACAUAUUUAUUUGUUAUCUCCUCUAUGUGAGUUCCUGAAGGACAGGGACUCCCUUUUGUCUUUCUUUGUAUCCCCAGUGCUUAGCACAAUGACUGGUUCAUAGCAGAUGCUUAAUAAAUUCCCAUUGACUAAUUAGACUGUCUAUAGAUGCCUUGAACUUCUGUGAAUUUCAGUGGCAUAAUUGUUCAUCAAUCAUUCUUCCCUCUUAAUAUAAGCAUUGUCGCUGAUACUUUACUUCAGAGUCAAGACUUAGCUCUUAAAUCACCCACGCCGCUUUUUUCAACCUGAAAGAAGCAUUAUUUAUUUGGCCAAAUGCAUAGCAAAUGAAAACAGUACAAAAACCACACCAAAAGAAAUCAAAUUUCUAAAAAUUGCAGUGUUGUCUUCCUGCCAGGGUAGAAUGACCAGACAUUGUGGUUUUCAGAAAAUGUCCUUGUGUUGUGAAGGCUUUCUGGCUCCAAAUACUAAAAUUAGUGCUUUGUUCCCAUUCCUGGAGUUAAAUUCAGGCAACUGGAUGAAUCUGACUUAUUUUGGAUCUGAAGCUCACCUUGCUGUAUGUACAUCCUUGAUGCCAGGAUAAAUUAAAUUAGACAUGAAUUUGUCAUUGUGGCCUGAGCUGUGUACUAGGGGUUAGUACACAGUUAGUGAUUGGGUAUUGUAGGGUGGAGUAAUUGCUUUAUUUCUGUGUUUCUUGUUUUGGUGAGAUCCUCCAGCUUACCAGCUUACUGAAUUAUCGUGGAUGUUACUGUGCUACAAUUCUGCCAAAGAAGCAAGCAUUUAUGAACUAUCUACUAUAUGCCAGACCCUAAAUGUGGAGACACAAAGGCAAAAAUGAAGCAGGUCUUGCCCUUUUGGAACUUCUUUGCUAAAAAGAGAGGCAACAUACAUAUAUCUAAGUUAUAUAGAAAACACAUGCCAAACCAGUGCAAGAUAAUCGUGAGGAAGGAAGGUAGUAGGAGUGGGGGAAAUCAGAAAAGCCUCAUACAGAAGGGCCUUGAGAGGGAAUCUGGAGAUUUGAGAUGUGGGUGUGGAAAGGAUGUGUAUUCCUCACCCAACUGACUGCCUAUGCAAAAUUCUGAAAAUUGGAGAGGGCACUGCAUAGAGGGGACAGAAUUAAGACUAGAUUGUCUAGAUGGUAGUGCAUGUGGAGAGAAGUAAUAGGUGACAAAAUUAUAAAGGUUCGCUGGGACCAAGUUGUGGACCAUAUUAAAAGGGGGUGGUUUAUAUUUGACCAAGGAGGUAAUUGGGAGCCAAUAAAGUUUAAUGAGUAAGGAGUUUUAGAAGAGGGAUUGUGAUAUGAUGAGACCUACAAUUGAGCAAAAGAAGCUAUGCAGAGUCUAGAUUGGAAAGAGAAGAGACUUAAGGCAGAGAAACUAAUUAGAAGGCUAUUGAAAUAGUGCUGUGAGAAGUGACAACAGGCAAUAUGUAAGGAGAAUGUGAGAGAAGAAGAUGGAUACAACCCUCCUGUCCCCAACCCCAUCAAAUCUCCCAUUUUUUUAUUCCCAUUCAUAUGUAAGAUUUUCUAAAGUGAACUAAAAUGCCACACUGAAAAACAAACAAACAAACAAUUGUAUGGUCCCUAAGUAAGAGGCUGGAUAAUAAAAAGUGAAGAGGGACCAGAAAAGGAUCUUAGAAGACUUGUGAAACAGAACUCCACAUUUACACAAAUUGUUGCUUUGGGUAGAGAUUAUUCUUGUCAUCUCCAAAUCUAAAUUUAUAGGACUUGAGUGGGGCCAAUAAUAAUGCUUAGUAGGAGAAUAGUAACAAAAGACAAAUUGAGUCAUGAUGAUGAAUGAAUGAACCAUUUAUUUGAAUAGGAAUUCCUAGUCAUUUUAACAGAAAAGCAGCAUUGAAUAGCAUAUAAAGAACUGACCUUGGAGUCAGGAAUACCUAGAUUUGCAUUCUACCUCUGACAUAUAUUAGCUGAGUGAUCAUGGGUAAAAAUCAUUUUAGAGCUCAGAGCCCUGAGACAGUUCUUAAAGUACAUUAGUUACAGAUGAUUUACCGAUUUAUGUCCAUGGAGGAAAUUUCUAUUCUGAAAUUAUGGACAAAGAUGAAAUUUAUUAAAAACUUAAUGCCAGGCAUUGGGUUAAGUGUUAGACUUGCAAAUACAAGAAAAGAAAGACAGAGACAGAGACAGAGAAGUAGUCCCUACUUUCAAGGAGUUUUCAUUGUAAAUAGAAGAUUUCAUUUGGAAAUGCAGGAAAGCUAGGAAAAGGAGGUUCCUAGGAGCCAGCUACUGGUGGAGAGGUGGAAAAUUCUGGAUAAAUGAGCAGGACUGAUGGGCACUUCCUUAAAUGGUGGUCCUAUCCAUGGACCCACCAAUCAGAGAAGAGAAAUACUGGGAUAAGAGGUAUCUUUAGUGUGAGAAAGCUGCUAGUGAGUAGACAGAAAAGUCUGGAGAAUUUUCUCUUAGGUCGGGAAAUUUUAUGUAAUUUUGUGCAAAAUUGUUAGAGAGUACUGUGAAUCUGAGAAGAAAUUAAUUAAUUGACCAAUUUUAUCAUCUACAAAAACGACUGACAUGCCUGGCUCCACAAAAGAGAGCAAUAGUUGUGGGGGGUUUUAAUAGAAUGCCAUGCUUUUCUUCUAUGAAAUGAAAUUUUAUAUUAGACAUUAAAAUUGGAUAACUUGGCGUUUUCUAUCAUUCCAUUUUGAAAGAUUAUGGGAGAGAAGUCAGGAAAGGAGUAUGUAAUGGUGAUUUAAACAGCCAAAGAUUUAGAAUAAGUAUUAUAUAAAUAAAUCAAAAUCUCCCUUUAUGGGAAAACUUUAAUACGUGAAAUAUUUGAAAAAUCUAGAAUGGUUAUCAUUCAUAGUAUUCAUUCCCCUCACAUUGAACAUACAUCUUGCUUCUCAGAGCCAGUAUGUUAUUUCAGUCACUUCUCCCAUUCCAGGUCACAUUGAGAGGGCUUUCCUUAUUAUAGAUAAAAGCACAGAAAAAUGAAAAACUGGAAAGUGUUGAUGUGUUAUAAUGGCUACAGUUAUAGCUUCAGAGUGAAGAUCUAAGUUCAAGUCUUUAUGCUGCAUACCCUAUCCCAAACACAAUGUGUCAUGUUUUGCUCCUUCCUAAUUCUAAUAAUUCUUAAGUUCCAAGUUGUUUUUUUCCCUUCUCAAUUUUUUGAGAUUGGCAGUUAGAGGUUUUAUAUAUAUAGACAUAUAUAUGUGAAUAUAUUCAUUUUUGUAUUUAUAUUUUAUCUGUAAUAGACUAUAUAAUAGGUUGUAUAUAUAAUCUCUUACAAACAUUAAUGAAUAUGUGGCAAAAAAAAAGAAACAAAGGCCCACUAAGUAGAGCAAAAUUGUAUACAACCAAGUUAUGUUUUUAUUUAUUUUUCCUUUGCUUGGAGGCACCUGACUUUUAUUCUUCAUUAUCUCUAAUAUUCUUCACCAUUCUCAUUUCCCACAAUUAAUUAACUUCAAAGAACAGUUUGUGAAUGGGAAAGUUAAAGGUCCCACUAUCAUCUGCUUUGGUCAUGCUUCAUUUGGUAUAUUAUAUCCAGAAUAUUUUAGAAAGGACAUUGAAAAUAUAGAGUAUCCAGAGAAGAAUGCCCAGGAUGGUGAAGGAGCUGCAAAUCAUGCUAAAAGAGAACCAGUUGGAGGAACUGUUGGCAUUCAGAAUGGAAAAGAGAAAACUGUGGGGAGAGGGAAAAAUAGCUGUCUUCCAUGUAGAAGAUGAUAUCUUAGACUUGUUUUGGUUAAUCACAAAAGAUAGAACAAGAAGCAAAGAGGUAGAAGUUACAAGGAGAUCAUUCAUUGUCAAGAAAACUUCAUUGGAGUUGCCCAGAAGUCAGAAGCUCUUUUGAGACUUAAUAGGUCACUUCCUACUGGAAGUCUACAAGCAAAGCCUUGGUGGCUGUGAAGUAGAGAGGAGUUUGGUUUACUUAAGGUCUCUGAAAACCCAUGUUUCCCUGAAUAAUGAGAUUAAUGGGUAAUUAUCACUUCCAGGAACUUGAUGAGCUCUUUCUAUUAUCCUGUGAGUAAAAUGCAGUUAAACUAAAUGAGGUUUAUUAUUUGUACAAAUAUCACAGCAGGUCUUCCCUACUCAUUCUGCUAAUUCCCUUUAAAAAGAUGUUGUUGAAACACCACACUGAGGAGCCUAAAGAACAGCUAUAUGUCUUAAAGGUGAAAGGAGCAAGCUGGCAUAUUCCUACCAAAAAAGCAGAAAUGAUAGAUUCAUUCUGCUUCUCAUAACAUCCAAUGUCAGUAGGAAUGUAAGAGUGAUCCUGUAGAUGGGUUGUGUUUAUAUGUGAAAAGGCCACCUGGGAGUUUUGUUUGGCAUAGUAAUAACAGAGGUGAGGUAGGGAUCAGAAAGACUGAUGCCACACAGAACAGCUGGAAGAUAAACAUUCUCUUAGAAUGAAUCCCCAUUCUUUAGUUAGCUACUUAAUGAGAGUUCUUAUGUACACUGUCUACCAAAAGCAAAGGACUGCCUCGUGUUCAUUGUGUGUCUUUGGCCAGGCAAUCGGAUUACUUGAUAUCUUCAUCCCUCUCACAUAAGGGAAAUCAGGCUUUUGCUUUUUUUUUAGAGUCCUAUUAGUAGAAUUUGCUGGACGGUAGGACAGUUUGUACCAAAUUGAAUUCUUUAUGCCAAAUACUAAUAAUUAGGCAAUUUUCUAUUUUUCUUUUCAUUUUUUUACUCUAGCUUUUCCUUUCAUGAAAAUCAAAAUCCUACCAUUUAAAAAUCUUUAUUAUGAGUGUUAGCUAGUGUUUUCAGCUCCUUCUGAACACAUUUAAGGCAAUUAAACUGUCAAACACCUAACUGCAAAUCAUCCUGCAUUCUAUACCUUGCCAUAAUAUUUGGUCUCUUCAUCUAGGAGUACUCAUCCGUCACGAUGUAUCAGUCUUAUUGUUCAACCUCUUCCUUUUGGACUUGUAUCUUACAUCCCAGUCCCAGUUUGUUACUUCUGUUACUUUGCCUCUGUUCUAGAUCAAGUUGGGAAGGUUUUCCUUGUGUUAGAUAACAGCACAGAAAAAAUAAGAACUAGUGAAAGUCAGUAUGUUAUAGUGGCUAGAGAUUGGCUUCAGAGUAAAAAGAUCUAGGUUGAAUUUUCCUAUCUAAUUACAGGUAGGCUCUGUUUUCUGGGAGGUUGGGGAUACCCUCUUAAACUUCAGACUUUCCUUGAUGUUAUUCUCAGCUUAUUUUAUGGAUUUUUACCACUUUCAGUUUUUGGAGGCUAAUGUUAUAGUCUGAGGCAGGGAUCCCCAAACUUUUUACACAGGGGGCCAGUUCACUGUCCCUCAGACAAUUGGAGGGCCGAACUAUUAAAAAAAAAAGACUAUUAACAAAUCCCUAUGCACACUGCACAUAUCUUAUUUUAAAGUAAAAAAAAAAACGGGAACAAAUACAAUAUUUAAAAUAAAGAACAAAUAAAUUUAAAUCAACAAACUGACAAUAUAAUGGCCUCUAUUAUAGGAGUCAUUAUGUUGUGCAUCUAGGGAAGUAUGAGGGCCAUCAUACUACCAUGUUUCCCCAAAAAUAAGACACUGUCUUAUAUUAAUUUGACCCAAAAAACAGGGGGUGUCUUAUAAAACAUCCAGUGGCAGUGGUGGGCUUCUCAUAGUAGAGGCCCACUGCUGAUGUCACAGGCCAGAUCACCAUUAUCCAAUGCCUAUAUACAGUACUGGAGGUGGUGCUGGGCCUGUGACACUGUAUACAGCUGUCUGGGACAGCAGAGGCUGCAGCUCUGGCUGUGAUGGGCCUGUCACACCUUGCACAGGCCCAUCACUGCCACCACUAUACCGGGCAGCAGUAUACACAGUGCGGAAUCCCCUCCCCCAGAUCUCCACUCACCAUGCUGACAUCUUCCAUUGUGCAGCCACAUAAUCCUUGUGAGGCGCCUCGUUCUCUUUCAGUUACUCUCAGAACAAGACCCCAUGCAAAGCAUUAUGUCACCAGAAGUAGUACUGCAUGUGAGCAACACCACGCUUUAUGGCGCCGCCACAUACUGUGCUCCUCUCACUGACCAACAAUGAAAGAGGUACCCCUUCCAGAAGUGUGGUGGGGGCUGGAUAAAUGCCUCAGGGGGCCACAUGUAGCCCACAGGGCAUAGUUUGGGGACCCCUGGUCUGAGGGGCAAGAGCUCUGAGAGUGUACUCCCCUUACUGAUUUGAUUGACUCCUGAGAUGCCAGUGGCUUAAGAACUUGCCUCAGGCUUGAGCAUAAGCUUUUGAUCUCAUUCUGAACUUGAUCAUAUCAGGGGCUGAUCAAAUUCUAGCACUAGGCUUAGACUCGAUUUUUUUGGUCUCACUGUGUACUUGAUCCAAUCAGGAUACCUUUGAUUGCCCUGUUACUCUUAGUUUUGGGCAAUAAGACCUGGGCCCUGGGCCCCACCACCACCCUGUGAACUGUGUCCUUACCCCAAAGUGUGAACUAUGUCCCCAUCCCAAGUUCCUGGGAUUCUUGACUUUGCCCUGGUCCCAAAAGGAUCAGCCCAUUUUAGCCCAGAGGGCUAAGACUCCAGACUUCUCUACAGGUUUGAAAUUUCAAUAGGUGUAGGUUGGCUUGUACCACUAUUUGACUAGGGAGGAUCUCAGGAUCUGAAUGUUGGCUUGGGAAUAGGUUCUGAACCUGUGACAGCAGAUGUGAGGUGGGGUGACUUGCUCUUGGCUUGUUCUUCCCUCUUUGCUAUAGCCUCUUGCUGUCUCUGUUCGCCUCUCACCCCAGUGUCCCAGAUGUUCUCUGCCUACCUUUGGGGUUUUUCUUUUCUUCAAAUUUGUUUAACUCUGUUUCCUUAUUGAUCCUUUCAUUCCUAUAUUCAUUUUGUGAUGAUAUUUUAAUCUUGAUCAGAGAGGAUUCUCAUAGUGACAUGAAGCAGCUCUGGCUCACUCCACCAUCUUGGCUCAGCCCCUUAACUCAAGAUCUAGGUUCAAGUUCCUAUCCUUUAUACCCAUCCCUAUCACAAAGUAUCACCUUGCUUCUUCCAAUUCCAAUUCAACAAAUAAAAUACAUCCGUUCAAUUUGCCACCCAAAUAUUCAUUCCUGAUUUGAAAGCCAACCCAAGUCAGUGUUCUCUUACAUGCUAUCUUUAUCCCAAUAAAGCAUAAGCAGGACACAGACAGUGAACUCACAAUAGGUUCUCCCCAUUCAGCCCAUUGGGGCUGUUAUUAGGGGAUGAAGUGGGUAGCAUACUGGGCUUAGUAUCAGGAAAACCUGAAUUAAAAUCUAGCCUCAGAAAGCUUAUUAGCUGGGUGGCCCAGGGCAAAUCACUUAACCCUGUUUCCUUCAAUUUCCUCAUCUGUACAAAAACAAAAAAACAAGACAAAACAAAAGUUAGAGAAGGAAAUGGCAAACCUCUAAGAUAUUUUUGCCAGGAAAACCUCAAAAUAGGAUCAUGUAGAGUUGGACAUGACUGAAAAGACUGAACAACAACAAAACCACUCUUUGUUUCUCAGGGUCACAGCUUCAUGGGUGAGAAUCCAUUUGCUUUAAGUACCUUCAUAUCCUUGAAGACUUCCUUUGAUGGAAAGGACUGCUUAGAAAUUCCUAAGGAUAGUACCAAUUUGAGUCAAACAGUUAAUGAGCUCAGGUAGCUGGGUUACUGCCUUAGGUCACUAACUCCUCUUAAGCUUCUAUCUUUCACCUUCAAAUUCUACAUUUUAUGCCUAAGUCUAAUGUCCACUCACUCCAUAUGCCCUCUGUCUGUUAGCCUUCUCUGAGUCCUGCUUGUCCGUGAAGAGGAAGAAAGAUAAAUGAAGCUCUGUCAGGAAAUCAUAAAAGAGAUAUGCUAUUCCUCUUACACUUUGAUAAUUUCCAACAUUCUACUCAAGGAAUUUUAAAAUGUACACUUGAAAUUUGUGUCUAUAAUUCUACUAUUAAAGAAGAUAAAACAACAGAAGGAGAUAUAUUGGAAUAAAUCAUGAAAUAUGAGACACUUUUUUGAAAACCAGUGAAUAGACUGAUUUUUAAACAUUUGCUAGUGAUCUGAACUACAUUUUAUGCCCAAAUGUACAUCCUUUUCCAGAGAAUUUAUUAUUCAUAGUGCAAUAUAUAACUAAUUAGUAACCAUUUAUUAAAAGAGUAACUACUAUGUGCCAGUCUUUGUACUGAGCUUUGAAGAUAUAAAAAUAAAAAGUAAAAUGACAUGUGACUAUAAGAAGCUUACAUUCUAAUGAAGAAGACAAGUUCCUAUAAAAUUUUAUGUACAUAGUAUAUGCUAAAUAUGUACAAAUUAGUUUGGGAAGAUAAUACCCAGCUAGGGUUGCAGUCAAGAUGUUGGUUGGGAAAGGCUUAAUGUAGGAAGUGGUACUUGAACUGAGUUUUGAAUGAACUCAGAGAAAGAGGUGAUGAGGGAAAGGUUAGCCAGUGAAGUGGGUUUGGAGCAAAGGAGGGAUGUUAGAGCUAAUUAUAUAAAGUUAUCUGGGAAUUGUCUGCAGAGACAACAAAAUAAAUUAUUAUAUUUAUAUUUGAUACUACUAUGGAGAAGAAAAGGUUGGCUAUCUAUUUUAAAGUUCUAUUAAGUAGUAUAUAUAAUAUAAUCCUUUUAUGAGGACUUCUGAGCCCCUAAAAUUUGCUAGGUUUUGAUAUAUUAAUAAAGAGGUGUUUUAAGUGACCUUCAUGGCUUGUAUAGUGAUUAAAAUGUUCAAUAAUAUGUCUGCUAUGGGAUAUAAAGUUGAUUCUUAUUGGAGUCAAAUGGAUGAUGCCUGUCUCAGUCUAGACCUUUAAAUUGCAUAUUUGUAUUCAAUAGGUUUUCAUCAUAAUUAUGACAUGCACUGCUCAAUCUUCUAAAUUUAAAAAAAUUGGUCCCCAAAGUGUUAUGCAAAUCUGUUGUUGUUGUUAUUCAGGCAUUUUCAGUCAUGUCUGACUCUUUGGGACCCUAUUUGGGGUUUUCUUGGCACAGAUACCACAGUGGUUUGCCAUUUCUUUUUUCCAGCUCAUUUUAUAGAUAAAAAACCUGAAGCAAACAGGGUGAAAUGACCUGUCCAGACACACAUGGCUAGUAAAUAUCUGAGAACAGAUUUGAAAUAUGAGUGUUGCUGAUUCUAAGCCUAGCUCCUUAUCCACUGUGCCACUUACCAGUCCUUUACAAAACACAAAUAAGCCUUUCAUUCAUUACAGGUGCUUCACUGAUCCCUCAAAUGUAUCAAUAACAUUCAUAGGUGGAUAAACUGGAGGCACUAGUGAGGUUUCUCAACUUUUCUUGGGGUAGGAAGGAAGAGAAUUAAAAUGGUAGGUAAGGGUCAGCUUGGUAGCUUAGUGGAUUGAGAGUCAGACCUAGAGAUGGAAGGUCCAGCAUUCAAAUCUGGCCUCAGACAUUUCUUCACUGUAUGACCCUGGCCAAGUCACUUAACCCCAAUUGCCUAGCCUUUACUGCUCUUCUGCCUUGGAACCAAUACACAGUAUUGAUUCUAAGAUGGAAGGUAAGGGAUUUUUUUAAAGAUAGUUAAAUAAUAAGUAAAAAGCCAAGUCAUGGUUUCCUACAAAACCGUAGGCUACUGAAGCCAAAAUAUAAAGUGAGCUACCAUUUAUAAGUAUCUUUAGGAGUUUCAAACAUAAUCAUAAGCCCAAGUGUUUUGAAUGGUCUAUAUUCUGUCUUUCUUUCUUCAUGAUGGUCCCAUUCCUUUCAAUCUUUUCUUACUAAAUCAAAAUAGAAUUGAAUUUCAUGUGCAGAAACAAUUAGUACCUGGAACUUGGGUAGACAACAAAAAGAAAGCCAUUUAGUUAGCUAAUGAAACCUCUGUGGUGUGUGUGUGUGUGUGUGUGUGUGUAUUCUGGUUUGGGAGUUGCUUUUGAAGGACCCUAUUAAGCAGGACUUCUCAAGAAAAAUGAAAAUUCCUCUGAUUGAGUUUUUGUCACAGUAAAAGAUUAUCAUACUAUUGGCCCUGAAGUUGGAUUGUUAAAACCUCCCUUAUGGAUGAAAAACAUUUCUAAAUAUGAAUGCACCCCUAAACAAAUCUGAGAUAAGUUCCCAUUAUUUACCAUCAUUAAGAUGAUUUUUGAUCUAUUUCUUCCUAUGGUAUCUUUAUAGAACUCAUCUUCAUUCCCACUACUUCCUUCUCUUAGCCUGAGAAUCUCUUACCCCUUAGAAUAGGGUUUCCCAAUCCCAAGUCAAAAAUAAGCACUGGUCACUGCCAAAUUUUUACUUUUCCUACCCACCAUUCAUAUUUCUUUAAAAUCAACAUGAUUAAGGCAAGAUAAAUUAUAAUGUGAAUGUUUUAGUACUACUCUGCAUUAUAAUUUAGAUGAAAUACUGUUUUAAAAGAAGAAAUGGGUUCAGAGCUUGGGAAGAGACACAGCCUGCAAAGGUGGAAAAGAUAUCCAACCUAGGGUUUUUUUAAUGUUUAUAUUUUUGUUUUUGUUUUUGUUUUUUUUCCCCUUGGGCAGCUAUGGUAUGAAAUAGAUAGAAAAUUGGACCUGAAGUCAGGGUGACUCAUCUUCCUGAAUUCAGUCUAGCCUCAGACAUUUAAUAGCUGUGUGAAUCUGGGCAACUCAUUUAACCCUGUUUACCUCAGUUUCCUCAUUUAUAAAAUGAACUGGAAAGGGAAAUGACAAGCCACUCCAGUAUCUCUGCCAAGAAAACCUAACUGAGGUCAUGAAGAGUUAAACCCAUCUGAAAUAACUAAACAUUUUUUUUUUCUUCUUAGCCUUCAUCUUCAAUCUCACUUCCCACCUCUCCCCUCUUUGCCCUACCAUGUGUCUCCAUCAACAUUUUAGUAAAUAUUUUGGCCCAUUGUUAAUUCUUUCCUUAAGGAUGAAUUCCUGUGGGUCUCAGCUGUCUUACUUUAUAUAGAAAUACCAUUAAAAGAUUAUCUUCAUCAAUUAAAAGAUGAUUCACUUUACAAAAUAAUUUCUUAUUCAAAGAAAUUACUAAUCAUGAUUUGAUUAUAUCACAAAUUUUCCUGGUAUAAUUAAUACAAUGUUUACUUUGCAAAUGUUUCAUUUACUUUUCAUUUUUCCAGUCCUUGGCACAUUGCCUGCUACAUGAUACUUAAUAAGUCUUAAUUGAUUAAUUGAUUGAUUUACACACAGUCUCAAGAUCCUCCUGUGUGAAUUACUUCAAGAGAGGGGUCCCCUAUCUUCUUCAAUUUCUUCAGAUGUAGUGACUGAGAAAAGAAAAAUUCCCUGAAGUACUUCAGGGCACACAUUUGAGGCAAUGUGUUCUCUCUGCCCCCUAUCUUUAAAAGGCUUCAGUCAUAGAGCCAGAACUAUAAAAACAGAUGGAGUGGUAUAACGACAACUGAGGGAGAGGGUGUAUUCACAAGGACCUUUUGAAGACUUUGGUGCUCUUUAGCAGCUAAUUAAAUCAAGCAACAGGGCACCUAGUCCCUUUUCAUCUGAAGGAUUAAUUUGCUGGAAAACGAGAUCUAUCUCAUAAGUAAAAUGUACUUAUUCUGACAUUUAUAUGGCUUUCGAUUUAAGCCUUUUUCAUGGCAGUGUAGCCUCAGUGUGUUGGUUUAGGAUGACAAGUAAGGACUCCAGUGUUACCAGUACAGAAUUGUGGAAACCUGUCAGUCACUCUACUUCCUUGGCAUCCUUCCUCACCUGCCUUUUUUUGUGACAUAAUAUUUCAGGAUCUCUAUUGGUUAGAUCAUCAGAAGGGAAUGACACACUUGCUGAGGCUAUUAAAUAGGUGAGAUUAUUUGGUCUAUUGGUAAAAACCUUCAAGUCAAACUUUAGUUUUAAGUCAGGCAGAAGGACAGUAAGCCCAUAAGCUACUGAGCCAUGUCCUGAGACAAGAUCAGAAGUUAUUCCCCACAAGCCUCUCCACCCCCACAAAUCCCAGGUGCUUCUCUAAAGAGUUUCCUGCAAAACAUCAACUAUUGCUUUGGCCUUCCCUGACUUCCGUCAUGUCUUUCCUGUUGCAAACAGACAUAAUAAGUAGACUUUGGUCAGGAUUUUCCUUUUGCUUUGGAUAGAACUACUACAAUGAAGAAGGACCAGGUGCUAAUUGUCAAACUUUUGCUGUGUGAUGUAUUGUCAAGGAUUCCUGUGAUAGUUAUUUUCAUUCAUCUUUAUUCCUAUGAGUGUUUGUGUAUUUUCAUCCAUAUACAUAUGGUAUUCAGUUUCCAAAAACAGCCCUUAAAAAAUGAGACAGAUAUUAAUUUCAGCUACAUUAUCUUUUACCAUGAAUAUUUAACAUGUAUUGACAGAAACUAUUUCUCUCCUGCCUUUAUUCUUUUAUACUAAUCUCCCAGUGGAUUUAACAAAAAAUCUGCCAUUUUGUUUUAUUAUACAGUUAGAAAAAAGAAAACUUAGAAGUUGAUAGAAUAUUCAAUUAUGUACAGGAUUUAGACAAAGGUGUUUGUUUAUUCAUGGAUCUCCAUCUAAACUAAGGUCAAAAUAAGAUAAUUAAAACAACAGGAAAAAUUUAGGUUUUCAAUGAAGAAUGACUUAUGGUGCUUGAUAAUAAGGAAAAUGUUAAUUGUGGAACAUGACUAUAUAAAGUUCAUUAGUUUUAUACUUCACUUAAAAAUACUUUGGGUAUAUAUGUGUAUAUAGAUAUAUAAUAUAUAUAUAUAUAUGUGCCUGUAUAUAAACCUUUCCUUUAUUUUAUCCUUAAGAUAAGUGUAUUUUAAAGAUUAGAUAAUUAUAAAUAUGCCACUUUACAGAUAAACCAAGACCCAGAGAGAUUAGGUGACUAAACAAGAAUCAUAUAACUAAAACUAGUUUCUUUCCUUUUUUUUCCUGACACAUCAAUAAAAAGGCACUGAAAAAGCACUAGGGAUAUCUUGGUUUGCACAUUUGUAUUUCAAGGAUAUGUUAUAAAGAGGACAGAUUCCUUUUAUAUACCCUUUCUAUAUGGAGUCCAAAGCUGUCACACUCUGGUGUGGUCUUCCAUAUCCCCCUAAAUGAGAUUUGCACCAGGCUUCUCUUGGAGGUAAAUUUCUAGUUACAUUUCAGUUCCUCAAUUGUCAUGUAGCUAAAGUUUGCCCUGACAAGAGAUUUGGGGCACAGGAACAUAAACCACAAAUUCUCUGCCAAUUGGGCAAUUUUAUUAGCCUCCUUUGCUGGGGAAUAAAAUACUUUUUUCUUGCAUGUUUUCCCUGAGCCUGGAAUAUACAUUUCUAAGUCAGAAUAGUGGUGGGGGAAGGGAAUAGGGUAUGAAUGGAGAGGAAAAAACUGUAGUUAAAAAAAAAAAGGACUAGAUGGACUUUACAACCAUAAAUGGUAAAACUAACCCUGUUCCACUGCCAACUAACAGAACAGCAAAGUAAGGUUUUGAUUUACAGGAACAGCUCAGCAAGGGCCUUGUAGAGAGCUUCAUGCCUGCUAUAAAAAUGUGAUUAGCUAUAAAACAGAGAGAUUUAACAAGAGAAUUUAAGCAUAGGCAACAGCCUUGGUUCAAAAGGGGUGUGUGUGGGGGGGUGCUGCCUGCUUUUCUAAUUCUGGGAACCCAGCUCUGUUAAGAGCAGGGCUAGGAGCAUUCAUUUCACAAUUAGCAAUCUUUUUGAUUUAAGGGGGGGGGGGAAGAAAGGGGAACUAGCCUUGAACUUUGUGAUUGAUUUUAUUUUACCUUUUUAAUCUACUGGACUUAAAUUUGAGGCUUCCAGAGCCCUACAGAACUGCUUUAUUCAAUUCCUUGUAACUAAUACCCUCCUAGGAAAACAUGGCUGAGAAUACAAGUUUAGGAGGAGGAGAAAGCCAAGGUGGAAGUUGGGGGGGAGGUUUGGGAGGGUAUUUAAAGUCUUAUGUCUCCUUAACCUGUGGACAGAAUUACUUCCUGGGGCCAUUCCUUUAUGGGUUGGUUGGUUGAUUGGUUUGGGUGGUGUGUGUGUGUGUGUGUGUGUGUGUGUGUGUGUGACAGUUUGGGUUUUGAACUCCAUGAUGGUACAUUGUUUCUCUAGCCAGGGAGUCUGACUAAAGUUCCUUUUAGUAAUUAAUACCCAACCUGGAAAGUUACAGUAAGGAUUAGGGAGGAUUUGGGCAAAGAAGAGGAGGCUGAAGUUGAUGAUUCUUUGUCAAAUAUCAAGAUACCUCAUUUGCAGUGUUUUCAUUAAUAACAGGUCACUUUUCCAGUUUCAGUUACCUGAUCUGUAAUGUAAAAUAUCAACCAUUAUUUUAUCUUCUGAUAAAGAGCCUGCCAAAGAAAGGAAGAGGGAGGGAAAGAAAGAAGGAAGAAAGGAAGGAAGGAAGAAACUAAGUACUAAAGAAGGAAGGAAGAGAAAGAGAAUAUGGAGGGAGAAAGGAAGGAAAGACUCUACAUGUUAACCCUUUACUACAUGACUUUGAUAUGGAAGUUCAUUCUAAAGAGUGACAUUCAUAGACUUCUUACUAUGGCUUUAAUAAUUCCAUAAGACACAAGGCAAAUCUAAAAAAGAGAAAUGGAGAGAAAAUUCCUUUUGCCAGAAAAUCUUUAUUUAACUGUACUUCAAUUAAUUAUAGUAUCAUGCAUUUCUGCAGUGCUUUAUAUCUCACAAAAGGCUUUCACAUAGUAUUUCUCUUAAUCCUCAGAAGAAGAAUAAAACCUUAUGAAACAGGUAGGGUUCUCUUCUUGACUUUUCUACUUUGUUAAUGGCAUUAUAAUCUUAGCUGUCAUUCAGACUUGAAAAAUCAGUAUCAUCUUUUCCUCUAUUUAGAGAGUCUACUUUCCCACUGUUUUGACUGUAUAAUUUUUUAUUAUUUAAUGGUCAAUUCAGAUGCUUUCUCCAGGAAGCCUCUGGUCCAUGCUCACCCACUCUCAUCUAUGAGUCAGAAAGUAUUUCUCCCUAAAUCUCGAUAACACUUUGUCCCUCUCUCAAAUCUUCACAUUCUAUCCCGUUAAUGAUUUGCAAGUGUCAUAAUGCUAACGACUAACAUUUAGUUAACUUAACAAGCAUUUAUUAAUUAUUUGUGAUGUGUCAAGAACUAUGGUACGUACUAAGGCAUACAAAGAAAAGAAAAGCAAUCACUGUCUUCAUGUAGUUUACAUUCUAUUCAGGGGAGAUGACAUGCAAACAACUAUAAAUAAGGAGAUAUAGAUGUAUGAGAUCCACUCAGGAUAAAUUGGAUAUUAUCUUAAAAGGAAGGCAUUUAUAUAAGGAGAAACCAGGAAAGGCUUCUUUCAGAAGGCAAGAUUUUAGUGAGACUUGAAGAAAUCCAGGGUAACUAGGAGACUAAAAUGAGUGAAAGAAUUCCAACCAUAGUUGUCACUAGAUCACAGAGUGUGUGAAGAGGAAUAAAGUGUAAGAAGCCCAGAAAGGUAAAAGAGAAUCAAAUUUUAUAUUUGAUCUUGGAUGCAAUAAGAAGCCCCUUGAGUUUAUUGAAUAGAGGAGUGGCAUGGUUAGAUCUAUGCUUUUGUGAAAGAUCACUUCAAGAACUAAAUGCAAGUUGAUUGGAGUGGUAAAAGAAUUAAAACAGGAGGCCAAUCAGAAGGUUAUUGUAAUAGUCUAACACAAGGUUUUGAAGCCUGAACCAGACUGGUAGCACUAACUGAGGAAAGAAGAGGACACACAUAAGAGAUGUUAUGAAGAUAGAAUUGAUAGAAUAUGUCAAUAGAGAAUGGAUAUUAAGGAGGGGGAGAGAGAAUAAUAAAAUGGGAGGAACUUGAAUGGCAUGGAAGGAUGGACAUUUAUAUACCAUUUAGUGGUAGUUCAUAGUUUAUAGUAGUGUAAUCGUUAAUAAGUUAUAUACAAUUUAAUAGUUAGCCAAUCAUUUUUAUACAUUGCUUUCAUUUUAUGAUGGGUGAUUGAGACAUUAGAUCAAUAAUAAAAUUGUUCUUGAUUAUACAACUAGUAAGAGUGAGAGCUGGAAUAUGAACACAAGUCCAAUGAAGUAUAAAUUCAAAUUUCUUUUCAUCGUGUCACCUGCUUCUUAUUUUUCCAUUGAGGAUAAAAUUUCUUUGAGAGCAUAGCCACAACAUAGUCAUUUUUUAAAAUUGUACUUCCUCUUCUUCUAGCACCUAGCAUCAAACACAGUACCUUUCAUAUAGCAAAAACUUGAUAAAUACUUGUUUAGUUAAUGAAUGUGUUAUACUGGCCAGAUUUGAGAGAAUGUUCACAGAAAACAAAUGCCUGUGUAGAUAAUUUUCAGUUGCUUUCAUGAAGAAGUAUAAAAUUUAGUAUAAGAUAGUUCCGAAUGAUCCCUUUUAAUUAAACAUAUUUUUGUAUUUUUCUUAUUUUUAUUAUCAAAGAAGGGAAAGUAUAGUAAUUUACCUACAUUAUAACUUAAUACUCUCUUUAAAAGUAAUAUAGAUUCUUACUGAAGUGGGGCCUGAAUUUAAACAUGGGUUCAACACAAGACUAUAAUGACUUCAAGAGACUAUGUUGGCCAUUCCAUUUGUUCAAAAUGGCAUGUUUCAAAAUCCUCUUUUAAAGAUAUAAUAGAGAUAAAAUAUAUGCCAAAGGAAGCCAAAAGUACUGUUUGUUGCAGACUUACUCAAUAAUACAUUCUUAAUCCCUGGACAUUUCAAAGUAAUUGUAGGCUUCUGCAUGGAAACAAUUUUCUGAUUCUGAGACUAAGAUAAUUCAAAUUGUAUGUCCUUAAAUACAAUAAUAAGCCAAAGCCUGCCCUUGGUUGCUUUAUAGAAGUCCAAUUGUAGUCAGUUAUGUUGACAUAAAGAAUUUGGUUUUAAUGUUCCCCUGUGAUCUAAAGUUUUGUAUUUUCCUCUAGGGACACAAAAAGUGGCAAUUGCAAGAACUUGUGAAUAUUUCAUAGACUCAUAAAUUUCUAUGUAGAUUAAAAUUUAUAAUUUUUAUUAGUUAGUUUGUCACUUCAAAGGAAAAAUUGAGAAAUUAAACGGGUUUGACAUGAGGGAAAUUUGUAUUUCAUGAAUGACUUGCUUUGGGAUAUUUUUAGUUCCAUUUAGUUACCAAAGGCAUUAUUUUUCCUUCCAUUUUAACUAAUAAACUUUGCAUUCAAUUUAUAAAAUCCUCUUGAAAAAAAUUUGCCUUUAUCAGUUUCAUACUGUAGCCUCAUAUAUAAAAUUAAUUCUAGAACUGUGAUAAUUAUUCAGAUAUUUCAAGCAAGUAAAUUAUUUUACUUCAAUAACUUUGAAAUCUAAGGCUAGAAUUACCCAAACAACUACAUCAAUUCUCUACUUCCAUUUUUUGUGUGUAUGUAUCCAAAUAUGGAUGCAAUAUAGCUAAAAGUAGUGUUUCCCAAAAAGUUUUCAAUUCUUCUCAAACCUAUGGGUUCUCCUGAGAAAUGGAAAAAAUAGCUAGAGAAAGCAAGAAAUUAGUUUCUUUUCCAAAUUUCCCUUUAAAUCAUUUGCUGAUUAGCUUACAAUUUUUAGCUGAAAUUAGACUUUUUAAACUCUUAACCUGUAAGUCUUUCAAACAGAUGCUUAUUGUAAUUUCCCUUAUUCUUUGCAUAAAGAAGGUUACCACUUUCAUAGAUGUGGUCAUACUAUUGAAAAAAUGGAAGGAAAUCUAUACUCACAACAUACCAUGGACUUCUCCAUGAUUCAACAGUAAUACAUGACCUCAGUGUAAGGAAAUAAUUGUUUAAACUUAUCAACCGAUAUUUGGAGUAAGUACAGGAAAGUAAAAUUAAGUCUGGGAGAAUCAUUUGUCCCCUCCCCCCCCCAAAAAAAAACAAAAAAACAAGCAGUCACAAAACCUUAGGGCUAGAAAACAUUAUUGAUGGUAUCUAAACCAACUCUAGUACUGAAAAUGAGAAACAGAGGCAUAGAGAGGUGAUAUAAUAUCAUUAAUAUAAUACAGUUAUUUAGAGGGAGAGACAUGGAGAAUGAAUUAGGUGCUAUUUAAAUGAGAAUUAUUAUUGUGAAGCUAAGCAUGUAAAUACAAGUAAAUAAAAUAGUCCUAACUCUCAAGGAGCUUAUAGUCUAUGGAAGGAAGACAGUAUAUAAAGGGAAGUUUCAAAAGGGAAUGAUAGAAUAGGAGAGUAGCACCCCAGGCAAGACCAAGGCAGAUUAUGAGUACGUCAAACAGGAAUUCUAGGGAGGAGGGAGAGGAGUAGAAGGAAUUGCAACAAGUAUCUUAGAUAAAGAUCUACUUUAUAAAAUAUGUAGAGAACUGAGCAAAAUUUAUAAAAAUAAUAGCCAUUCUCCAAUGUAUAAAUGGUCAAUCUGUAUAAGAAUUUGGAAUGGCAUACAUAUAUAUGUAUGUAUAUACCAUAGAUUCUUUGAUCCAGCAAAACUGUUUCUAGAUCUUUUCCAUAAGAGGAUGAGUGGAAAAAUUUCCAUGUUUGCAAAAAUAUUGAUAACAACUCUUUUUUUGUAGUGACAAAGAAUUGGAAAUUGUAGUUUGAACAAGUUAUAAUUUAUAAAUAUAAUGCAAUACUCUUGUUCUAUAAAAAAUGAUAAAGGGGAUGGUUUCAGAAAAAUCUGGGGGGACUUAUGUGAACUGAUGCAAAAGGAAAUCAAUUGUGAAUGACUCGGUAACUCUGAUCAGUACUAUGGUCUAUCAAAACUCCAAAAGACAAUAUAAAAUGCUCUGCAUCUCCAGACAGAAAACCAAAUGGAUUUAGGGUACUGAAUGAAUCAUUUUCCCCUUUAUUUUUCUUACUUCUUUUUUGGAACAUGACUAAUGUAGAAAUAUGUUUUGCAUAACUGUAUGUGUAUGAAGGGUAAUAUUUCUUGCCUUAUCAAGUGGGGAAAGAGGUGGAAGGAGAGAAUUUGGAACUGAAAAUGAAAAUAAGGAAGAUAAAAUACUAUUUUUGUACUGAAUUUACUCUAUUGAGUGUUAUUCAAUAACAAAUUAGCCUGUCCUUAUAGAUCAGAGGAGUUAAACAUUGGUUGGCCAUAGUCUACAAUACUCCCUAGUUCUAGGUAAAAAUGUAAUUGGUAUAUGUUUAUUUUCUUUUUUUAACUUUUUCCUACCUGGAGGAGUGUCAGUCUUUAUUUUCAUUUAUUUAUUUAAUUAUUUGAUUUUCCUGUGCCAGAGCUGACAAGAAAUUCAAGUAGGUUAUACAUGUAUUAUUACCUACUUCAUAUUAAUGAUUUUUUGUAAUAAUCUUUUAAAAACCAAAACCCCUCAUCCAAUACCCAUAUAAACAAGUGAAAAAUAAAAUAUUUUCCUUCUGCACAGUUCUUUCUCUCAAUUGGAUAGCAUUCCUUUUCAUAAGUCCCUCAGGAUUGUCCUGGAUCAUUACAUUGCAUCGGUUGCAAAGCUGAUCGUCCCACAAUGUUUCCGUCUCUGAGUACAAUAUUCUCCUGGUUCUACUCAUUUCACUUUGCAUCAGUUCAUGAAGGUCUUUCCAGCUCAUAUGGAAAUAGCACAAUAGUAUUCCAUCACGAUCAUAUACCACAACUUGUUCAGCCAUUCCCCAAUGGAAGGACACCCCUUAAUUUUCCAGUAAUUGAUAAAUAUUUAGCAAAAUAAACAAUUGAAUAAAACAAAAACUACAUUAUAUUUUAAAAUUAAGUCAAUAUGCAAAGUUAUAGACUGAUUAGCACUCCAUUUCUAGUUUAAUGUACCACUACUGCUAUAGAUCCUAUGGAAAAUGAUAUAAAUUAUAAUGUAAAAGAUACUUUAUAAUGUUAUAUUUCAUUUCACAAAAAAAAAGAA